UUGUUUUUCGAUCGCUACUGUACAGUCAAUGGCUGCAUGGCGGCGAUGAGCAUUGGAACUUGGAAGUGGAUGCAUGUGCAACUUGAUGUGUCGUUGCAUAUGGGAGGCCCGUUGGUAAUGUUCGCAGACUGGUCAUUUGAUGAUACGUAUGCACAGCGUAGUAUGUCCUUCAACAAUCUGUUAUGUCCAACCAUGGAAUGAGUCGCAUGCGACUAAGUUAACCAAACAGGGCAACAACAAUUAGUCAGCAAUGGAAUUAGUCAGUGGAAAACAACACAUUCAUUCCCGAGGAUGGCUUUGAGUUUAUCUAUGCUUAUUCAUGAUUGAAAUUUGCCAUGUUUUCAGACCAACUGGAAGGAUUCCUCUUUUUCACAGAACUUUAACAUUUUCAUGGUAUAUUUAAUUCUUUGUUGGUGGAUUGUCACUUGGCAUCAUUUGAAUGGUGUGGUCCAUAUCAGCAGUGUUAUGAUGCAUAAUCAUGUAGAACUGCACAAUGAUGGGUUUGUAUAAACAAGCUUGAAAUAACAAACCAACAGUGUUUUUGGUGUGGCUUACACAUACAACUCUACAACAUGUUGAUGUUAGCUAAAUUGUUAUUAAUCAAAGGACAAGGUAGUAUGAAAUGAAAUAUCUUCACUUGCAAGUUUGUGCAUAUGGAUUUGUUUGAGAUGACUCUUGAGGCAGGAAGCUUUUCCUGCUUUUUACGAAAAGGGACAUUGGGUGCCUUAAUUUCUAAUACCAACCAAGUGUCAUUGCAAAGAUAGGUAAAAGAUAUAUCAAUAUAGAUUAUUCUCUGAGUGAUGGUGACACAUGGUAAAAAGAGAGAGCAGUAUGAAUAUUUGCCGCAUCAUUUACUUCUUUUACUUAUAUCUUCAAGGUAUCUUAUUGACUUCUAUUAGUUUUAUUUGUGGAAAGAAUAUCUUGAGUGGGAGAAUUGGAUCACAAUUGACUAGAUGUUUUACUAUUUUAAAUGAGUUUAUCACAAAGAAUUUUUUACUGGCUGUGCUAUCACGUUUUUCAUCAUUCAUUCAAUUUAAUUUCAAAGUUAAUACGGAAAAAGAGAAGUUCUUUAUAAUAUUUUCCUCUAUCUGAAUCUCUUGAUUCUUGGAGGUGUAAUCAGGUGAUGUUAGAAUUUGUUGUUAAUAAUUUAAGUUUUUCGAAUUGUGCUUUCAGGUCUUUGGGAUGUACCUGAUAAAUUGUGGCGGCCGCAAAAUCAUUUUAUGACUUGGUUCAAUCCAGGGCUUGGUUUUUUCGAUAGUGGUUUACAGUUUUAAUUUGCAGAGAUUCUGGAGGCACCUGAUGUCUUUCAUUGGCGUUGGUGUCACUCUGUGACAGAAGAGAAUGCCACUGAUGUUAUGUUGUCAGUGUAAAUAAAAAAUAUUCAGUAUCA
Daphnia magna is the source of this 1390-nucleotide long non-coding RNA. RefSeq lists it as uncharacterized. The record is from RefSeq and is a predicted model, not a curated record. The transcript is spliced from 5 exons. Lineage: Eukaryota; Metazoa; Arthropoda; Branchiopoda; Diplostraca; Daphniidae.